This 255-nucleotide ribosomal RNA is filed under the name uncultured bacterium. RNAcentral's name for it is "partial 16S ribosomal RNA". It matches the Rfam family "Bacterial small subunit ribosomal RNA", at positions 99 to 354 of the family's 1533-position model. The record is from RNAcentral.
CGGACGGGUGAGUAACGCGUGGGUAACCUGCCUCAUACAGGGGGAUAACAGUUAGAAAUGACUGCUAAUACCGCAUAAGCACACAGAAUCGCAUGAUUCGGUGUGAAAAACUCCGGUGGUAUGAGAUGGACCCGCGUCUGAUUAGCUAGUUGGUGGGGUAAAGGCCUACCAAGGCGACGAUCAGUAGCCGACCUGAGAGGGUGAUCGGCCACAUUGGGACUGAGACACGGCCCAAACUCCUACGGGAGGCAGCAG